AGUAAAGUAAGCCAACAUUAAGCUCCUGGGCCCAUGCCCCAGUAAUGACGGUGAAAAUCCGCCCUUUGCUA
This 71-nucleotide transfer RNA is filed under the name Ptychadena mascareniensis (Masarene ridged frog). RNAcentral's name for it is "tRNA-Met". The record is from RNAcentral. Lineage: Eukaryota; Metazoa; Chordata; Amphibia; Anura; Ptychadenidae.